UAGGGAAUCUUCCGCAAUGGGCGAAAGCCUGACGGAGCAACGCCGCGUGAGUGAUGAAGGUCUUCGGAUCGUAAAACUCUGUUAUCAGGGAAGAACAAAUGUGUAAGUAACUGUGCACGUCUUGACGGUACCUGAUCAGAAAGCCACGGCUAACUACGUGCCAGCAGCCGCGGUAAUACGUAGGUGGCAAGCGUUAUCCGGAAUUAUUGGGCGUAAAGCGCGCGUAGGCGGUUUUUUAAGUCUGAUGUGAAAGCCCACGGCUCAACCGUGGAGGGUCAUUGGAAACUGGAAAACUUGAGUGCAGAAGAGGAAAGUGGAAUUCCAUGUGUAGCGGUGAAAUGCGCAGAGAUAUGGAGGAACACCAGUGGCGAAGGCGACUUUCUGGUCUGUAACUGACGCUGAUGUGCGAAAGCGUGGGGAUCAAACAGG
This 429-nucleotide ribosomal RNA is filed under the name bacterium. RNAcentral describes it as "partial 16S ribosomal RNA". It matches the Rfam family "Bacterial small subunit ribosomal RNA", at positions 355 to 776 of the family's 1533-position model. The record is from RNAcentral.